This is a long non-coding RNA of Seriola aureovittata, 909 nucleotides long. RefSeq lists it as uncharacterized. Lineage: Eukaryota; Metazoa; Chordata; Actinopteri; Carangiformes; Carangidae. The record is from RefSeq and is a predicted model, not a curated record. The transcript is spliced from 3 exons.
GCUUCCUCCAUACCUUCAUCCUUCCUUAUCAGACUCCAGUCGCCCUCACCAACUCCCAACCCGACCCCGACCCCCUCCAAUCUCAUACUAUCCCACUAACACAGUGUGCAGCAGUGGCAGCUAGGUCACACUCUUCUUUCCACUCCAAUUCAUUCUCUUCAGGUGGACAGGGAAGAUGACGGCUGGGAUGAUGUGACUGGACGCUGUUUUGAAAAUGAGUAAUACUCUGUAACUGAAUGCAGCAACCGAGGCUAACAGUGGAGCGUUGAUAUGUUUAGUCCACGAGAUACAAAUGGUCUGUUGACAUCAUUUCUGUUCAGCUUAUCACAUUUUAGAUCAGUUUCUCAUCUUUCAGGGAAUUAUUUAUUACAGCUCAUUCCAGUUGUUAAAUUGUUAAGUGUAACAUUUCAUGGUGUUUUCUUACUUUUGUUUUUGUAGCCUACUUCUUUGCUGUAAUGCAGGUGUCAGCUGAUACCUGAAUAAUAAUAAAGAAAACACCAAACUUGUGUUUUCCUUCUCACGAUGUGCAUGAUCAGUUAAAGGAAGUAAGGAUACAGUCACAGAGCACGAUUGGGUCGAUUGUAACAAACCUGGCAACCUCAGCGAUCUCACAACAAGACUCUGGGAAGCUGCACAAGAUCACUGCAUCCAGCUGUUGUCUGCAUUGACUGAGAAUAUGAGACCAGGUUCCUGGAAAAGAAAAUACGCCACUGUCGUCAUCUGAGUGAGAUGUGACACGAGAAGCUGACAGUGAUGAUGAGGACAGCGUUUAUGAUUUUGUGUUCACAGCAACACUGAGUUCCUGCUUUGUCUUCCAGACCCCGCGGCCCAGCAGAAUAUGUAUAUGCUGUUAUUAUGUAAAUAUUGUGAGUGGUAAAAAAAUGUUUAUAUUGGACUAAAAUAAAGCAU